GUGGGUAUAGCUCAGUGGCAGAGCUCAUGCUUAGCACACAUGAGGUCCUGGGUUGAAUCCCGAAUACCUCCA
This 72-nucleotide transfer RNA is filed under the name Camelus bactrianus (Bactrian camel). It matches the Rfam family "tRNA". From Rfam's summary of the family: Transfer RNA (tRNA) molecules are approximately 80 nucleotides in length. Lineage: Eukaryota; Metazoa; Chordata; Mammalia; Artiodactyla; Camelidae. RNAcentral also lists the same sequence under 1 other name. The record is from Rfam by way of RNAcentral.